This is a long non-coding RNA of Nymphalis io (European peacock), 594 nucleotides long. RefSeq lists it as uncharacterized. The transcript has 3 exons. NCBI's taxonomy places the organism in Eukaryota, Metazoa, Arthropoda, Insecta, Lepidoptera, Nymphalidae. The record is from RefSeq and is a predicted model, not a curated record.
CGGCACCUCGGCACGGUCUCUCCCGUGCUUUGCUCGGCUCGUGGCUCGGUGGAGCUCUCCUUCUCCAAGGGUAAUUUCGCCCCCCCGCACUCCUUGCUAGUGCGUACGGCAGCGCGAGGCCAUCCCGGCUGCCGUCCUCCUCAGGGCCAUCUGAAAUGUCCGGUCAUUCGUACAACGUGCAAACCUGCGAGCUAUCAUACCACAUCGUACCGCCAAGCCCCUGCGCUCUCUCUCCAUGUCAGCAUCGUCAGAUAAAUCCUCGGUGACUAUGUGACCCAGAUGACGUAACAAAUGGAUAGAGUUAUUUCUCAUUCUCAAUGUCCAUUAGGGAAAAGAAGCCUCGGCAGACCAACAAAACGGUGGGCUUAUGAUAUUGUUAAGGAAGCAGGGCAAGAUUGGAUGUUUCUCGACAGUGAUACAGGAUUCUGGAAAAAGAAAGAGGUGGCCUUCACCCAAUCGGGAUCCACAUUAUAUGAAUAUAACUAACCACACUAACAUUAGAUUAAUAAGUUAAAAUAUAUAUAAUAAUUAAAUAUAAAAUAAUAUUCUAACACGACUAAGAAACAUUUGAAUUGUAAACAUUUUGAUGUGGAA